CCUACGGGAGGCAGCAGUGGGGGAUAAUGGACAAUGGGGGAAACCCUGAUCCAGCGACGCCGCGUGAGUGAAUAAGUAUCUUGGUAUGUAAAGCCCUGUCAGUAGGGAAGAAAGAAAUGACGGUACUUGACCAAGAAGCCCCGGCUAACUACGUGCCAGCAGCCGCGGCAAUACGUAGGGGGCAAGCGUUAUCCGGAAUUACUGGGUGUAAAGGGAGCGUAGACGGUGUUGCAAGUCUGGAGUGAAAGGCGGGGGCCCAACCCCCGGACUGCUCAGGAUACUGUGUAACUAGAGUGCAGGAGGGGUAAGCGGAAUUCUCGGUGUAGCAGUGAAAUGCGUAGAUAUUGAGAGGAGCACUAGUGGCGAAGGCGGGUUACUGGACUGUAACUGACGUUGAGGCACGAAGGCGAGGGGAGCGAAAGGGAUUAGAUACCCCGGUAGUC
This 443-nucleotide ribosomal RNA is filed under the name uncultured bacterium. Its description in RNAcentral is "partial 16S ribosomal RNA". It matches the Rfam family "Bacterial small subunit ribosomal RNA", at positions 338 to 795 of the family's 1533-position model. The record is from RNAcentral.